Molecule: ribosomal RNA, 545 nt
Filed under: ectomycorrhizal root tip 158_Ny2.E2-26.5
Lineage: Eukaryota; Fungi
Description: eukaryotic LSU rRNA
Rfam family: 5.8S ribosomal RNA (bases 172-325)
Source: RNAcentral
AGGACAUAUUGAAAUAAACCUGAUGGGUUGUUGCUGGUUCUCUUGGGAGCAUGUGCACGCCUUGUCAUCUUUAUAUCUCCACCUGUGCACCUUUUGUAGACCUUUCAGGUCUAUGUUGCUUCAUUUACCCCAAUGUAUGUUAAUAGAAUGUUGUGCCUAUAUAAUAUAUACAACUUUCAGCAACGGAUCUCUUGGCUCUCGCAUCGAUGAAGAACGCAGCGAAAUGCGAUAAGUAAUGUGAAUUGCAGAAUUCAGUGAAUCAUCGAAUCUUUGAACGCACCUUGCGCUCCUUGGUAUUCCGAGGAGCAUGCCUGUUUGAGUGUCAUUAAUAUAUAUAUCAACCUUCUCUUUGUUGAGUGGUUUUGGAUGUGGGGGUUUGCUGGUCUCUUUAAAGGUUUCAGCUCCCCUGAAAUGCAUUAGCAGAACAACCUGUUCAUUGGCGUGAUAACUAUCUAUGCUAUUGAAUGUGAAGGGCAGUUCAGCUUUCUAACAGUCUUUGGACAAUUCAUCAUUAAUGUGGCCUCAAAUCAGGUAGGACUACCCGC